ACGAACUGUCCUAACGUUGUUCGGAAUCACUGGGCUUAAAGGGCGCGUAGGCGGUCCGACAAGUCAGGGGUGAAAUCCUGCAGCUUAACUGCAGAAGUGCCUUUGAUACUGUCGGUCUCGAGGGAGAUAGGGGUGUGCGGAACUUCCAGUGGAGCGGUGAAAUGCGUUGAUAUUGGAAGGAACGCCGGAGGCGAAAGCGGCGCACUGGAUCUCUUCUGACGCUGAGGCGCGAAAGCUAGGGGAGCAAACGGGAUUAGAUACCCCGGUAGUCCUAGCCCUAAACGAUGGGUACUAGAUUGUAGACUAAUCAUGGGUUUACAGUCGAAGCAAAAGUGUUAAGUACCCCGCCUGGGGAGUAUGGUCGCAAGGCUG
RNAcentral lists this ribosomal RNA (372 nucleotides) under uncultured bacterium. RNAcentral's name for it is "bacterial SSU rRNA". It matches the Rfam family "Bacterial small subunit ribosomal RNA", at positions 525 to 896 of the family's 1533-position model. The record is from RNAcentral.